GAUGAACGCUGACAGAAUGCUUAACACAUGCAAGUCUUUGGCGAAGCUGUGCUUGCACAGCCUAGCCAAGGCGGACGGGUGAGUAACGCGUAAGGAACUUGCCCUGCAGUCAGGGAUAACAGACGGAAACGACUGAUAAGACCUGGUAAAGUCAGGCGGACUCAUGUCCAGCCUGAUGAAAAGAGAUGCUGCAGGAGAGCCUUGCGUCCUAUUAGCUUGUUGGUGGGGUAACGGCCCACCAAGGCGAUGAUAGGUAGCCGGCCUGAGAGGGUGGACGGCCACAAGGGGACUGAGAUACGGCCCUUACUCCUACGGGAGGCAGCAGUAGGGAAUAUUGGACAAUGGGGGCAACCCUGAUCCAGCAAUUCUGUGUGCACGAUGAAGGUUUUCGGAUUGUAAAGUGCUUUCAGCAGGGAAGAAAAAAAUGACGGUACCUGCAGAAGAAGCGACGGCUAAAUACGUGCCAGCAGCCGCGGUAAUACGUAUGUCGCAAGCGUUAUCCGGAAUUAUUGGGCAUAAAGGGCAUCUAGGCGGCCAGAUAAGUCUGGGGUGAAAACUUGCGGCUCAACCGCAAGCCUGCCCUGGAAACUAUGUGGCUAGAGUACUGGAGAGGUGGACGGAACUGCACGAGUAGAGGUGAAAUUCGUAGAUAUGUGCAGGAAUGCCGAUGAUGAAGAUAGUUCACUGGACGGUAACUGACGCUGAAGUGCGAAAGCUAGGGGAGCAAACAGG
This 732-nucleotide ribosomal RNA is filed under the name uncultured Leptotrichia sp. RNAcentral describes it as "bacterial SSU rRNA". It matches the Rfam family "Bacterial small subunit ribosomal RNA", at positions 28 to 776 of the family's 1533-position model. Lineage: Bacteria; Fusobacteriati; Fusobacteriota; Fusobacteriia; Fusobacteriales; Leptotrichiaceae. The record is from RNAcentral.